UACUUGAAUCUGAAGGCUUUAAUGUUUUGUAUUUGUAAACGAUAAUCGUUGGUGCCAAUCAUUAUAAAACAACUCAUAUUUUCGAAAAUAAUACGUAUUAUACGCAGGUGCAGUUUUUCCUUUCAACAGUAUUAUAUACAUAACAAUUUGGUGCCACUUAAACACAAUAAUGGACUAGGAAGCCCCACUGACUCUUUAGGGUGGUCCACAUUUGUAAGGAAAUACUUUAAGCACCUCUUUCAUCCGCUUUUAUACAGAGAAAGUGGUGUAGGUGCAACAAAAAAUAGCUUUUUAAUUAAAAAGGUAAGAAUUUGAUUGUUAUAUAAAAAUAUAGUUCGCAAGCUCACUACUCCAAAUGGCAACACGGAGUUCAUGAAGGGACUUGAACCAUGUUCCGACAUAUACAUUAAAAAUUUAUAUUUGUUAUACAUAGGGUGCCGCUCUGCUGGAGUUAUCCAUUCCAGUAUCCACACUAAAUCCGUAUACUUACUGCUAUGUAUCAUAAUCUGGAAAUCCUGUACGACAGAGAAACCUUAGGCACCGGACGAGUCACGGAAGCACCGGAUGAAAACGCCAACAAACUCAGGGAGAUUUAUGACAUCGCACGGCGAAAUCUGGAAAAGGCAUUUCAGUACCAAUCCAGACUAUAAUCUGAGGAAGCAAUGGACGUCAGCUGUGGGCGACGAAGUGUGGGCCAAGGAACACCAUCAUAUCAAAAGGUGCCCAGGAAUUCGCCGCAAAACUGGCCCUGAGGUAUAAUGGUCCUUACCAGGUCGUACAUUUUGCAAAACAACUGAUGCAAAACACAAGCGAGCAGCUUGCAGACACAACGUUCGCCUGCUAGGCGUGAAGCAAAGUUAACUGCUAGGCAGCUUCCUGGCGUUGGCCUUGACUGUCAGCGCGAACGGAGCGAAGCCCUAGUGAGACCAUCCGGGACAGACACGCGGUCGUUGUGUCGAAAGGCGUUGCCAUGGACAGCGAGGCACUUAUUCACCCUAGUCUGAGAACGGUGAAGGGAAGCCCCUAAGCCCGCACGGCCGAUCUCUCUGCGAGUUAAAGGCGAGACAAGCGGCCUCGGGUCAACGUGUCGGCGAGCAAGCAGAGGCGAGGGACACCAGGAGCAUCCCAAUACUUUUGGAAUAUAGAUUGGUAUUUAAUAAAAUCAAACCAAAAAACAACUUCAAAAAUGUGGACACUAGAAAAGCGUUUUAGCAUUAUUUGCGAUUGUUGGCGCUAAAGUGUGCAUACCACUCCGAUGAAACAAACUUCCGAAUUUGCAUGCCUAGACCCAACAUUCUAGCUCUUAAAGUUUCCGAGAUCUCAGUGUUCAUACGAACAGACAGAUAGACAAACAUACGGACAUGGCUGACCAACUCGGCAAGUGAUGAUUUUCGAUGCUUGUAUUAGUUCAUGAAAGGCGGAACAAUUUCAAUGAUAUUUAUGUCGGAACUUUGUGGAACUGAUCCAUGUCCGUUAACAACUUGGUAGGCAUCCAACCCUUAUGACACGGAACACAGUUGUUGAUAUGUAUCAUAAUCACGAAAUCUUGGCCGAUAUUCUCUGUUAUUAUGUACACUCUAACAUACCAAAAAUAUCACAGCUAUACAGAGCCGAAUAAAGUCAGUUGGACGUCAGUCGUCUCCUUUUAAUCGGAACACAACAUUUUCUAGCGACGAAGAAAAAAGUCCCGCAAAAUUUCAUUUUGUGUAAUUCGUGUCGGUAGACUAAAACAACAGUGAUCGAAAGCAAAAAGACAUAUAAUGGCUGACAGCCAAGUUAAUUUUGAAACAUUAUGGGCUCAACAGCAAGAAUUUGCGCAGAAGUUGAUGCAACAACAACAAAAAUGGAUGGAAUCCAUUCUUUCACUAAACAGUGGUGUGAACUUAGCCAGAUCGGGAGAAUUAUCCGUGUGCCCACCGUUUCCAAACUUUAACAAAGAAAAUCAAAAUUGGGAAAUGUACCUCCAACAAUUAACACAGCACUUCUCCGCUUACUCGGUGCAAGCAGCAGAUAGGAAAAAAGCGUAUUUUCUAAUGUGGGCAGGCACUCACAUAUUUGAGCUUGUAAAAAAUCUGUUUGGUAGCGAAAACUUGGACCAGCAGACAUAUGAACAAGUAACGGAAAAACUUACAGAACAUUUCAAGCAGAAGCGUCAUAUUGUUGCUGCACGGUACGAAUUCUUCAAACGUCAGAUGCGGGACUCACAAACACAUAAGAAAUGGGUCACCGAUCUACGUGGCAUUGCUAGAGAGUGUCAAUUUUUUUGCCAAUCCGAUGGGUGUUCAUUUAAUUACGUUAAUGAAAUGACCCGCGAUCAAAUAAUUGUGCACACUUCAUUCGACGCAAUUCGCACAGCCGCUUUUCAGAAGUUGCAGCCGUCUCUCGAAGACAUUCUCUCAAUUGCCGAAACUUACGAGACAACAACAAAGACAGUGGCAAUAAUCAAAGAGAGUGAAAAGAGAGCUCUUGUAACAAACGCAGUAUACACACAAAAAUCAAAUCAUCAAAAACGCAAUUUUUCUGAUGGUAAAGGCGGCAAGACUGCUUUAAAAUCGUGCUCUGGCUGCGGUCACUCUCAUUCUCGCGAAAAUUGCAAGUUUCGGGAGGCAAUUUGCCACAAAUGUGCCAGAAAGGGGCACAUAGCUGUCGUUUGAUUAUCCAAGCAGUGCAAAGACAAAAAAGACACCGAUCAACAAAAAACCCGAAACAAAAACGCAGAGUCAAUUCAAACAAUUUACAACGUUUCCAGCUUGGUCAAGUUUGAAGGAAACAAAACUGAGAUUGAAGUGGAGCUCCUCAAUAUAAUCGUAUCCUUCCAAAUGGAUUCUGUCAGUAUUGAAUUUCAAUACAUACAAAAAGCUAAACAGCCCGAGACUGCAGAAGUGCGAUCGAAUCUUGCACGCAUUUGGCCGACAACAAAUUCCUGUACUGGGUGAGCUACACACUGUAGCAAAGUGUGGCAACAAAUUGGCGAAUGUGGUGAUAAUUGUGGCUAAUGUGGAUAAGUCCAAUAAUCUGUUCGGCUUGGAUUUGUUUAAAACAUUCAAUUUUGAAAUUCAGAAAAUCGCAAACGUCACUGACUCAAGGGGACUCAAAUGACAGAUCUUUGCCAGAGGUAUAAGGAGAAAUUUGAGCCGGCUAUUGGUACGAUAAAAAACUUUAAGGCUAGCAUUUACCUUAAACCGAAUUCCGUACCAAAGUUCUACAAAAGCAGGCAAAUUACGUUUGCCCAAUUGGAUAAAUUCAAGGAGGAAGCGCAGCGUCUCAUAGAAGCAGGUAUUUGGAAACGCAUAAAAUGUAGCAACUGGGCAUCGCCAAUAGUACUAGCACCAAAGCCCGGUGAAGCACUGUGAAUCUGCGGCGAUUUCAUGCAAGGCGUCAAUUCCCAAUUGGACAUCAAGCAAUAUCCAUUGCCGACACGUGAGUCUUUGUUACACAAAAUUCGCCACGGCACGCAUUUCUCCAAAAUUGACCUUAAGGAAGCAUACUUACAAAUGGAGUUAGACGAUGCAGCGAAAGAAAUUCUGGUUGUCAACACGCCGUUGGGUCUCUUUCAGUACCAACGUUUGCCGUAUGGAAUAGCUAGCGCACCAGCUAUAAUUCAGCGUCACCUUGAGCAACUUCUAAGUGAAAUAGAAGGUUGUGAAAAAUUUCUCAAUGACAAUUAUUUCGGCCCCAACAGUGGACCAACACCUAGCCAGACUUGAACAAAUUUUAUGCAUUUUACAGGCGAAUGGCAUAAAAUGUAAGAAAGAGAAAUGUUUCCUUCUAAGGGAUGAAAUUGAGUACCUUGGGAGAAGGGUCAGUGUUAAGAGCAUCCUUCCGGAUUCGUCAGGACUAGAAGCCGUUAAGGAAAUAAAGCCGCCCUCUAAUCUACAACAGCUAGAUGCGUUUAUGGGAAAAGUGAACUAUUACUGCAAUUUAAUUCCAAAUUACUCCCAGUUAGCUUCACCCCUAAAUCAAUUGCGUAGGAAGAACAUACCCUUCAAGUUUGGACCAGAGCAACCGCAAGCUUUCUCAGCUUUGAAGAAGCAUAUCCUCGACGCUACUGAGCUAGCAGAUUUCAACGAGAAUCUUCCGCUUGUUUUAGCCACAGAUGCAUCCUUUUUCGGCAUUGGUGUUGUAUUGUCACACAUGCAUCCAGAUGGCUAGGAAAAGCCAAUAGCCUUCGCAUCGAAAACCCUUGACGUUCACCGAGUCCGAUACAGCCAAAUUAGGAAAGAAUCAAUCAUAUUUGGGGUAAAGAAGUUUCAUCAGAAUUUAUAUGGCAGGAAAUUUAUUCUCAUAACAUCACAAGCCGUUGGUCACAAUCUUUAAUCCUAGCAAGCAUUCGCCAACAAUGACUUCAAACAGACUCCAGCGUUGGGCUAUAAUAUUGAUAGCUUACAAUUUUGAUAUUAAAUAUCGCUCAACCACAGCUCAUGGAAACGCAGACGCACUCUCAUGUCUUCCUAUAAGGUCAGAUCACCUUUUCGAUAAGGAAGAGGAAUGCUAUAACAUAGUCGAUAUAUCCUGUCCAAUAAAUGCCGAUAUCAUCAACGAAAGUCUAAAAACCGAUACAAUUUUGCAGAGAGUAUACAACUUCGUAUCAACUGGUUGGCCAGAACAACAGGAUGAUCCCGAAAUACAACCUUACUUCAGCCGCAGAUUUGUCUUGACGAUCAACAACAAGCUGCUAUGACUCCAUUCUGAUGUACUUCUUAGUUCGCAUGAAACAACCAGCUCGUCACCAUGUUUGGUGGACAGGUAUCGACGACGACAUAGCACAACUAACUAAGAGUUGCACCGUUUGCAUGGUAGGCAACCCAGCCCCGGUAAAAGAGUUUCAAAGCUGGCCAAAAGCUACAAGUGCCUGGGAAUGGAUACACAUAGAUUUUGCGGGUCCUAUAUUUAACUCAAUGUGGCUAAUAUGCGUCGAUGCUUAUUCUCAGUUCCCGUUCAUAACCCAAAUGUCGUCAACUACAACUGCAAAUACAAUAUCAGCGCUCACAGCUAUAUUUGCAAUUGAGGGUUACCCCAAAACAAUUGUCAGUGAUAAUGGACCCCAACUCACUGCAGAAACCUUUAAGGAAUUUUGCCUUCAACAUGGAAUUAACCACCUAACUACAGCUCCUUUUCACCCAGCAUCAAAUGGACUUGCUGAGCGCUUCGUCCAAAAUUUUAAUACUUCUGUCGUCAAAAACAUAAAAGUAAGUAAAAACAGCCGUUACGAAAUACCUUAGUUCGUAUCGUUUCACCCCGAACUCGGAAGGAAAAAGUCCUGCACAACUUCUACAUGUUCGCCCUGGGCGUACGAUCUUAAGUCAACUUUUUGAAAAACAAACUGAAAGCCAGCAUAUCGAACCAAAAAAGUAUUCGCCGAUCCAAAAAGUAUUUGCCAAAAAUUACGUCAGGGAAGAAAAGUGGAUAAAAGCUGUCAUCGAUCGGUCCAUAGGCCUUAUGGUAUUUAUUCUUCGAACAUCCACAGGCCUUAUUAAGCGCCACAUAAAUCAGAUUAAGUCGAGAUCUGAUCACGAUGACCUCAGUAGCAGCUCCAAAGAUGACAACACUCCGUUUUGGUGGAUGCCCGACACUUCCAAUCCACCAACAACUCCGUUAAGCCCAAGACAUGAAGAACAGCAGCCAUCUAGCCCAUCACAGCCUCUCCAAUCCACCCAAGCUUCCAAUGAAGUACCAGCACCAAUCCAGCUAGAUGAACCUCAACCGUCACAACCACGUCGAUCUGGUAUCCCCAUUCGUAGCAGUACUCGUUUGCGCCAAGAUGUCAACCGUUUCAAACCCCCAGAUUUCAGAAAGCGUAAAACUACUAACAAAAUGUAAAUUUAGGGGAAAGAUGUGAAAUGUAUUAUAAUCUGGAAAUCUUGGCCAUUUGCUGUUUACUUUAUCGAUAUUCUCUGUUAUUGUGUACACUCUAACAUACCAAAAAUACCGUAGCUAUACAGAGCCGAGUAAAGUCAGUUGGACAUUAAAUCUCUCUUUAAUCAGAACACAACACUUACAUUUACUUGUCACAACCCUCCCCUUCACCCUGCAAAUAACUUUUUUAUUCCAUGUCGGCUAGUUGUUGCUAGCUUCAUCGUUCCUCUAUCGAUCGUCAAGUUUCGUUUGCUGUAUACCAAAAUAGAAGAAAAUUUAAUCGAAAACAAAGAAGCUGUUAUUUUUAUACCCGUUACUUAUAAAGUGGAAGGGUAUAUUAGAUUCGUCGGAAAGUAUGUAACAGGUAGAAAAAAGAAUUUCCUAUAAAGGAUAUAUAUUAUAUAUUUAGCCGAGUCGAUCUAGCCAUGUCCUUCUGUCCGUCCGUAUUAACGCUAUGAUCUCUCAGACUACAAAAGCUGAUAAAUAAACUUUCAGCAAGGUGCCACAAUCCCAUCUUCAUGCCAAACUUAACCAAUUAUAAAAAAUUUAUAACGUUCGGAAACAGUCGAUUUGCUGCAUGCACGUAUCAAUCUCCCUCGCGCUCCUUUUAGCUGAGUAACGGGUAUCUAUAGCCUAGCGACUAUAGAGUUCUUCCUUGUUAUACCCAUGCAGAGGGUAUAAUGAUUUCAGUCUGAGGUACGCAAUGCAGUGAAGGAGAUUUCUCCAACCCAUAAAAAUAGAUAUAUUCUUGAUCAGCAUAAUUAGACGAGACGAUCUAGCCAUGCCCGUGUGUCCAUUUCUACGCAAAAUCAACCUCGGUUUUAAAGCUAUCGCGAUAAAAUGUUUGUCUUUCUAUUGCAGAAAGUAUAUAUAACAUACCAUUCGUAAACAAUAAGAAAAACAAAAAAGGAAGCUAGCUUCGGCAAGCCAAAGUUGCUAUACCCUUGCAGGUCGUUUGUUGUAAAUUACUGCCGUAUAUGUUUUCCGAAACCGAAAUAUAAGGUCUUCAGUUCUGCCUUUGAUUAGUUCCGGGCCCCUGUGUGCCAUAUUUCUGCAGUUGUUAAUUAACGAUUUUAAGAAAACCCUGCUGAUCUGGAGGUGUUAGCCCCAGCUGACAUUUUAAAUGGUGGUCCCCCUUCUUUAGAAGUUAGAAAAACUAUAUAAUUUUUCCAACCCAGCUACAAGCUUGAUCUCAUUGUGUUGUACCGGAGUCACUAAGCGUGGUGUUCCCCAAGGUUCGGUCCUUGGACCAUUACUGUUUUCAAUAUAUCUGGAUGAUCUUCCAAAUGUCUUGUCUAAUUGUAAAGUGCAGAUGUAUGCUGACGAUAUGCAAAUGUAUGUGAGUUGUCCCUAUAGCUGUAUAUCUGAACGUAUUGAUGUCAUUAAUAGUGAACUUAAACUAGACAGCAAUUGGGCAAAGAAUAACAGUCUUCAAAUAAAUCCAAACCCAAAACUCAAUUAGUAGGAAUAAAUUCACCGUAGCAUACAACAAAAUAGCAAGAUUUAUUUUUAUACCCGCUAUUCGUAGAGUAAAAGGGUAUAAUAGAUUCGUCGGAAAGUAUGUAACAGGCAGAA
This is a non-coding RNA of Drosophila suzukii, 7431 nucleotides long. The record is from RefSeq and is a predicted model, not a curated record. NCBI's taxonomy places the organism in Eukaryota, Metazoa, Arthropoda, Insecta, Diptera, Drosophilidae.